RNAcentral lists this ribosomal RNA (332 nucleotides) under uncultured bacterium. RNAcentral's name for it is "bacterial SSU rRNA". It matches the Rfam family "Bacterial small subunit ribosomal RNA", at positions 568 to 898 of the family's 1533-position model. The record is from RNAcentral.
CCCGUAGGCGGUCAACUAAGUCAGACGUGAAAUCCCUCGGCUUAACCGGGGAACUGCGUCUGAUACUGGAUGGCUUGAGUUUGGGAGAGGGAUGCGGAAUUCCAGGUGUAGCGGUGAAAUGCGUAGAUAUCUGGAGGAACACCGGUGGCGAAGGCGGCAUCCUGAACCAACACUGACGCUGAGGAGCGAAAGCCAGGGGAGCAAACGGGAUUAAAUACCCCGGUAGUCCUGGCCCUAAACGAUGAAUGCUUGGUGUGGCGGGUAUCGAUCCCUGCCGUGCCGAAGCUAACGCAUUAAGCAUUCCGCCUGGGGAGUACGGUCGCAAGGCUGAA